AGAGGCGAGUGAGUAACGUAGCCACCCCUCAGUAUUUUUAAAAAAGAAAAGGAAAAAUUAAAAGUGAAGAUUAGGUCACGCAAACGGAGAGUCUCUCAAAGCAUAAACACAAAACCACAAAUCAAAUCAUCACUUUCAAAUAAACGCUGCCACCACCUCCAAUUCCGUCUACAAAUCAUCCCAAAUGCCUAUCCCAACCACUUGAAUCACACCCAAUUUCGCCGGAAAACCUGAAUACGAUGCUUUCCUUUCCACACCCUCUUCACACCUUUCUACAGAAUUGCAGAUCUGCGGGUUAACGAAGGUCUUGCGGCCAUGGCGGGGAUUAUGAGGAGAGGUUACAUUCCUGAUAUAGUCACCUAUAGUACCUUGAUUAAGGGCUUGUGUAUGGAGCAUAGGAUUAGUGAAGCUACAUGGCUAUUUAUGAGUAUGCAAAAGUUAGGUUGUAGGCCUGAUGCGAUUACUUAUGGGACUUUAAUGAAGGGGCUCUGUCAAACAGGGAAUAUUAACAUUGCACUUCAAUUACAUCAAGAAAUGCUCAAUGACACCGGUCGAUAUGGGAUUAAUUGUAAGCCUACUCUAAUUUCUUAUAGUAUCAUUAUUGAUGGACUUUGUAAGGAUAGGCGGGAAGACGAGGCAAGAGAACUUUUCAAGGAAAUGAAAGCUCAGGGGAUGAUGCCAGAUGUCAUUUCAUAUACCUCUUUGAUUCAUGGAUUUUGCCAUAGUGGAAAGUGGGAGAAGGCUAAAUGUUUGUUUAAUGAGAUGCUGGAUGUAGGUAUUCAGCCUGAUGUGACUACGUCUGGUGUGUUGAUCGAUAUGUUUUGCAAGGAAGGAAAGGUUAUCGAGGCUAACGAGUUGCUAGAGGUGAUGGUUCAUAGAGGUUGCAUUCUUGAUAUAGUAACCUAUAGUACCUUGAUUAAGGGCUUGUGUAUGAAGCAUAGGAUUAGUGAAGCUACACAGCUAUUUAUGAGUAUGAAAAAGUUAGGUUGUAGGCCUGAUGCGAUUGCUUAUGGGACUUUAAUGAAGGGGCUCUGUCAAACAGGAAAGAUUAACAUUGCACUUCAUUUACAUCAAGAAAUGCUCAAUGACACCAGUCAAUAUGGGAUUAAAUGUAAGCCUACUCUUAUUUCUUAUAGUAUAAUUAUUGAUGGACUUUGUAAGGAUAGGCGAGAAGACGAGGCAAGAGAACUUUUCAAGGAAAUGAAGGCUCAGGGGAUGAUGCCAGAUGUCAUUUCAUAUACCUCUUUGAUUCAUGGAUUUUGUCGUAGUGGAAAGUGGGAGAAGGCUAAAUGUUUGUUUAAUGAGAUGUUGGAUGUAGGUAUUCGGCCUGAUGUGACUACGUCUAGUAUGUUGAUUGAUAUACUUUGCAAGGAAGGAAAGGUUAUUGAGGCCAACGAGUUGCUAGAGGUGAUGAUUCAGAGGGGUUGCAUUCUUGAUAUAGUCACCUAUAGUACCUUGAUUAAGGGCUUGUGUAUGAAGCAUAGGAUUAGUGAAGCUACACGGCUAUUUAUGAGUAUGCAAAAGUUAGGUUGUAGGCCUGAUGCGAUUGCUUAUGGGACUUUAAUGAAAGGGCUCUGUCAAACAGGGAAUAUUAACACUGCACUUCAAUUACAUCAAGAAAUGCUCAAUGACACCGGUCGAUAUGGGAUUAAAUGUAAGCCUACUCUUAUUUCUUAUAGUAUCAUUAUUGAUGGACUUUGUAAGGAUAGGCGGGAAGAUGAGGCAAGAGAACUUUUCGAGGAAAUGAAAGCUCAGGGGAUAAUGCCAGAUGUCAUUUCAUAUACCACUUUGAUUCAUGGAUUUUGCCUUAGUGGAAAGUGGGAGAAGGCUAAAUGUUUGUUUAAUGAGAUGUUGGAUGUAGGUAUUCAGCCUGAUGUGACUACAUCUAGUGUGUUGAUCGAUAUGCUUUGCAAGAAAGGAAAGGUUAUCGAGGCUAACAAGUUGCUAGAGGUAGUGAUUCAGAGAGGUUGCAUUCUUGAUGUAGUGACGUGUACUACCUUGGUUAAAGGGUUGUGUAUGAAGCAUAGAAUUAGUAAAGCCACACAGUUAUUUCUAAAAAUGCAAAAGUUAGGUUGUAUGCCUAAUGUAGUUACGUGUGCGACUUUAAUGAAGGGGCUCUGUCAAAGUGGGAAUAUUAAAAUUGCACUUGAGUUGCAUAAAAAUAUGCUAAGUGACACUAGUCCAUAUGGGAUUAAUUGUAAGCCUAAUGCUAUUUCCUAUAGUAUCAUCAUAGAUGGGCUUUGUAAGUGUGGACGGGAAGACGAGGCAAGAGAGCUUUUCAAGGAAAUGAAAGCUCUAGGAGUGAUUCCUGACGUGAUUUCAUAUACCUCUUUGAUUCAUGGAUUUUGCCGUAGUGGAAAGUGGAAGGAUGCUAAAUAUUUGUUCAAUGAGAUGGUGGAUAUAGGUGUUCAACCUGAUGUGACUACGUUCAGUGUGUUGAUUGAUAUGCUUUGCAAGGAAGGAAAGGUUAUCGAGGCUAACGAGUUGCUAGAGGUGAUGAUUCAGAGAGGUUGCAUUCCUAAUACAGUGACGUAUACUACCUUGGUUAAAGGGUUGUGUAUGAAUGAUAGGAUUAGUGAAGCCACACAGUUGUUUAUGAAAAUGCAAAAGUUAGGUUGUCUGCCUGAUGUAGUUACUUAUGGGACUCUAAUGAAGGGACUCUGUCAAACAGGGAAUAUUAAAACUGCACUUGAGUUGCAUAAAAAAAUGCUCAGUGACACUGGUCAAUAUGGGACUAAUUUUAAGCCUGAUGUUAUUUCCUAUAGUAUCAUCAUAGAUGGGCUUUGUAAGCAUGGACGGGAAGACGAGGCAAGAGAACUUUUCAAGGAAAUGAAAGCUCUUGGAGUGAUUCCUAAUGUGAUUUCAUAUACCUCUUUGAUUCAUGGAUUCUGCCGUAGUGGAAAAUUGGAGGAUGCUAAACAUUUGUUCAAUGAGAUGGUGGAUCAAGGUGUUCAACUAAAUGCUGUUACUUAUUCCGUUAUGAUCCAUGGGUUUUGUAAAGAGGGACAAAUAGAUAAGGCUUUGUUUCAAAAGAUGGAAGCAAAUUAAUGCACUCUCAACAUUAUCUUAAAAACCACUAUGGAAAUGGGAGGGAAAAAAGCAGAAGAGAAGAGUUGGAAGAAAAUCUUAAAAUUUUUGCAGCGCGCUUCAAAUUUUAGAAUAUUGAGUAGUGCCAUUAGUGCUCCAAACUUAUUUUUUUUUCCAUUUCCCAUCACUCUAGUUUCUCUCCAAUUUCACACAUAUUUUUUAUCUUCUCUAAUUCUCAAAUCUAUGGCAAGAGGCACUUUCCAAUCCCACUCCCUAUCCUCCUCUGCUUCUGUCUCCGAUGUUGUCACUUCACAAGACUUUGCGAUGAUGACAGAGCCUUCACCUCUACCGUCUCGGCUCCAGUUUUCACCGCCUUUACUUGACUCGUAGUUGAAGGAUCGAGCAGUGAUAGAAACAUGCCAAGGUUUUACAUUGACAAUGCUCCUAGCUUGAAUAUUGUUUCCAUCGUUGCUUCAUGAGUCUAUGCUAUUUCCACUUUUUCACUGCCCUCCACGUCUUUGGUAAGCUUUAUUGCUUGUGAUUCGCGGUUGGAGUUCAAUCUGAUGCUCAUUUCAUGCAAAGUGCUUUUUUCCUUCUCGAUCUUUUCAUUCCCUAGAUGGAAUGUUCAAGUUUCUACUGACCUGAUGACUUAACACUUUGUUUUGGUUUUCUCUCUAAAUUUAACAGUUGUUGUAGUCUUUUGAGGUUUGAAUUCCAUCAGUUUUGGACGUAUCAAAAGGAAGAGAGCUUUCUUCUGCUGGUAUUUUCUCUUUACUUUGUAUAUUUCAGAAGAUUGUAAUGACCACACUUAUCCA
Cucumis sativus (cucumber) is the source of this 3842-nucleotide long non-coding RNA. RefSeq annotates it as pentatricopeptide repeat-containing protein At1g63080, mitochondrial. The record is from RefSeq and is a predicted model, not a curated record. The transcript has 2 exons. Lineage: Eukaryota; Viridiplantae; Streptophyta; Magnoliopsida; Cucurbitales; Cucurbitaceae.